RNAcentral lists this ribosomal RNA (1000 nucleotides) under Pseudarthrobacter sp. RNAcentral's name for it is "bacterial SSU rRNA". It matches the Rfam family "Bacterial small subunit ribosomal RNA", at positions 62 to 1073 of the family's 1533-position model. Lineage: Bacteria; Bacillati; Actinomycetota; Actinomycetes; Micrococcales; Micrococcaceae. The record is from RNAcentral.
UCGAACGAUGAACUCCAGCUUGCUGGGGGGAUUAGUGGCGAACGGGUGAGUAACACGUGAGUAACCUGCCCUUAACUCUGGGAUAAGCCUGGGAAACUGGGUCUAAUACCGGAUAUUUACUUCUCGCCGCAUGGUGGGUGGUGGAAAGCUUUUGCGGUUUUGGAUGGACUCGCGGCCUAUCAGCUUGUUGGUGAGGUAAUGGCUCACCAAGGCGACGACGGGUAGCCGGCCUGAGAGGGUGACCGGCCACACUGGGACUGAGACACGGCCCAGACUCCUACGGGAGGCAGCAGUGGGGAAUAUUGCACAAUGGGCGAAAGCCUGAUGCAGCGACGCCGCGUGAGGGAUGACGGCCUUCGGGUUGUAAACCUCUUUCAGUAGGGAAGAAGCGAAAGUGACGGUACCUGCAGAAGAAGCGCCGGCUAACUACGUGCCAGCAGCCGCGGUAAUACGUAGGGCGCAAGCGUUAUCCGGAAUUAUUGGGCGUAAAGAGCUCGUAGGCGGUUUGUCGCGUCUGCCGUGAAAGUCCGGGGCUCAACUCCGGAUCUGCGGUGGGUACGGGCAGACUAGAGUGAUGUAGGGGAGACUGGAAUUCCUGGUGUAGCGGUGAAAUGCGCAGAUAUCAGGAGGAACACCGAUGGCGAAGGCAGGUCUCUGGGCAUUAACUGACGCUGAGGAGCGAAAGCAUGGGGAGCGAACAGGAUUAGAUACCCUGGUAGUCCAUGCCGUAAACGUUGGGCACUAGGUGUGGGGGACAUUCCACGUUUUCCGCGCCGUAGCUAACGCAUUAAGUGCCCCGCCUGGGGAGUACGGCCGCAAGGCUAAAACUCAAAGGAAUUGACGGGGGCCCGCACAAGCGGCGGAGCAUGCGGAUUAAUUCGAUGCAACGCGAAGAACCUUACCAAGGCUUGACAUAAACCGGAAACACUUGGAAACAAGUGCCCCACUUGUGGUCGGUUUACAGGUGGUGCAUGGUUGUCGUCAGCUCGUGUCGUGAGAU